Long non-coding RNA from Wasmannia auropunctata (little fire ant), 795 nucleotides. RefSeq lists it as uncharacterized. NCBI's taxonomy places the organism in Eukaryota, Metazoa, Arthropoda, Insecta, Hymenoptera, Formicidae. The transcript has 3 exons. The record is from RefSeq and is a predicted model, not a curated record.
GUAUAGUACGUACAAUAGUAGCAAAAAGUUAUUGGAAUUUGAUUUUGGCGAAUAUUAUGCUCUUCUCAUAUAAGACGGACCAUAUUCGGAAAAAAACCAACAAUCGACGUAUGAGCUAACGAAGUGCAAAUCCAUAGAGUUCGUUCCGAACAAUUUGGGUAUAUGCAGUUCACGCUUGAUUUCACCACGUUGCGCCUUGUUGCAUCGAAGUGUGCACUGACGGAUACGUGCUGUAUCGUACGUGCUGUACAUGCUAUCAGGAAAUGACAGAAUAAUCGGCAGGACGUGAGCAGUUCUCCGAAUAUUAUACGCUAUUAUAUACAUAUAAUGCGAAGAGUAUCACGAUGGUAAUGUAAUUAGAGAUUGUAAGCAACUGCAAGAAGCGAUUAAUCAUGGAGCUGCCGGCAAUUUGGUGUACAUACACUGGCCCGUGCUCGAUUCUGCUGCAUCGAACCGCAUACAUGUUGCACAGAUGCGCUUCGGCAGUUACCCAGAGUGCACUUGUGCUAUGCACUACCGGUCUGCACAUUACUGCAGCAUAUAUCGUAACGCAGCGUUCUUCAAUCAACAUUCCGUGGGACCGAAGUCAUUUCUACAAUUUUGUGUUACUUAGCAAACAAUUAAGAGACAAAGGGAGAACUUAAAAUGAAUUAAAUUAAAUCAAAAUUUCUACGUUAAAUUUAUAAUAUCAAAUUACUCAAUUCAAAAUUAUCAGUAUCAAAGUACCUAAUUUAAGUCCUUUUUUAAUUCUUUUUAUAUUUUAUCCACAUUAAUCCUUUUUAAUUCUUUCUAUAU